UACGUAGGUGACAAGCGUUGUCCGGAUUUACUGGGCGUAAAGAGCGCGCAGGCGGUCGUUCAAGUCGAGUGUGAAAGCCCCCGGCUCAACUGUGGAGGGUCACUCGAUACUGAUCGACUUGAAGGCAGGAGAGGGAAGCGGAAUUCCCGGUGUAGUGGUGAAAUGCGUAGAUAUCGGGAGGAACACCAGUGGCGAAGGCGGCUUCCUGGCCUGCUCUUGACGCUGAGGCGCGAAAGCUAGGGUAGCAAACGGG
Molecule: ribosomal RNA, 253 nt
Filed under: uncultured bacterium
Lineage: Bacteria
Description: partial 16S ribosomal RNA
Rfam family: Bacterial small subunit ribosomal RNA
Source: RNAcentral